RNAcentral lists this ribosomal RNA (301 nucleotides) under uncultured bacterium. Its description in RNAcentral is "partial 16S ribosomal RNA". It matches the Rfam family "Bacterial small subunit ribosomal RNA", at positions 509 to 807 of the family's 1533-position model. The record is from RNAcentral.
CAGCCGCCGCGGGAAUACGUAGGGUGCAAGCGUUAUCCGGAAUUAUUGGGCGUAAAGAGCUCGUAGGCGGUUUGUUGCGUCUGCUGUGAAAACUGGAGGCUCAACCUCCAGCCUGCAGUGGGUACGGGCAGACUAGAGUGCGGUAGGGGAGAUUGGAAUUCCUGGUGUAGCGGUGGAAUGCGCAGAUAUCAGGAGGAACACCGAUGGCGAAGGCAGAUCUCUGGGCCGUAACUGACGCUGAGGAGCGAAAGCAUGGGGAGCGAACAGGAUUAGAGACCCGCGUAGUCCCUGUCUCUUAUAC